CUCCUCUCUAAUUGUCCCCUGCUGCUUGUCUGCUCUGUCCAUGAUCAAGGCCUCAGCAGGUGAUAAGAAAGGCAUGAGAACAGGCUGGAAGGAGAAUGAACUACUGAGGGGCCCAAGCUGAAAGAAAUAAAGACUUCCAGUACAUCACCCUGACAGUAAAGAACCAAGAAAAAGUGAAGUCUGAGUACUCCCUUUUGGCUUCGGCAGAGUCGUUUCUUAAUGUUUGCAAACACUGUCGCUCAGAUGCAAGAAGUGCCAUUGCCCCAUUUUACAGAUGAGGAGACAGUGGCUGGCUGAGAAAGAAGUAACCGAAGUCUAUGUGCCCAAGUGACUACAGCAGUAAGACUGGACAGAGAGUCCCUUUCCUGGCAGAAGCUGGUCUUUCUGCGAGUCCAUGGAAAGUUCUUGAGCGGAGAGCUCUCCAUGCCUGCUGCUGCUAACAGUGACUUUGGAGUUGCACCUUUUCUCUUAUGUUUAAGAGUUCCAGUUCAUGGUGAUAUUUAAGAAAGAACUCAGCCAAAACACAGAAGAAUUGAAGGCCAGUCAUCAGAGGGGAAGAAUAUAGCCUGACAAGUCUACAGAGUAAAUAAGAUUGUAGAGGUGUGUCACUUCAUUUCAAUUAAAUAUCUAUGCAUUCUCACCCACUUGUGUUCUGCAGCUUUGCUGACACCAUGGAGAAGAGUCUGGCUCUGUCCUUUGCUCCUCUCAUCCAUUUAUAAAAACAGCCUUGACCACGUCGCUCCAACUGUUCUCAUAACUCCCAUUGCUGAUGUUCUAACAUGAUGCAGUCAUAAACUGGAUCUUUCUUUUCUUUUUAUGUACUUUUUAAUUAUCUAAAGGCUAAACUUUUGACUGCCACUUCUCAUUUGCACGCUGGAUUUGGGGUUAGAAAACAAGUUUGCUUAUUUAAUAUUUGCUUUGAUUUGGUGAUUAGUCUUUGCUCUUAAUUAUUUUUACCAUUUCCACAUGAGUGAUCAGGAAAUUAACAGCUGUCUCACACUUUCAGCAAGUUAAAAACAGCCUAUCGUAUUUCCUUAUUGACGUUUUACUUGCCCCGUGCAGAAUGUUUUAAGAUGCUGCUUCUCUUGAGUUUCCCACCUCACAGCUUGAGUAAUGCCACAGCUUUUAAAAAUGUUUCCCUUUUGACUUGCCAAGGCCAUGAAGACAAGUAAAGUCAUCCAGCAUAAAAGGUGUAUGUGAACAAAACAUGAAUGGAAGGUGUGGGUCAAGUUACAGUCCAAACAAGAAUAUUAGAAGCAGUUUUGGAGACUGAGGAGACCGGUCCUGUGGCACACGUCUGCAGUGAGAAAUACUGCCAUCCUGGGAUUCUGUGUGGUGUUUACACACUCAUAGCAAAUCCUCUUUAAAAAGUAAAAAUAAAUGGAUUGCUGCUCCUUUUUCCACUGAUGUUUUCCUUUUAUCUUUUCAUUCCUUUUCAAAUUGGUAAUGAUUGUAAAUCACUCCUUGCCACAGAAAGUGCUUUUUCUCCAAGAGCAGUUAUUUGAUUCCUGUAAUCUUAUUUAUUAGUUAAAUUCAAUAAGUGCCCAACCUAUGCUCUAAAUGCCUUUUAAAAAUACACUAAUAAACAGCUCUUGAUUGCU
Molecule: non-coding RNA, 1601 nt
Organism: Zonotrichia albicollis (white-throated sparrow)
Lineage: Eukaryota; Metazoa; Chordata; Aves; Passeriformes; Passerellidae
Source: RefSeq, a predicted model, not a curated record